RNAcentral lists this ribosomal RNA (496 nucleotides) under uncultured Lactobacillus sp. Its description in RNAcentral is "bacterial SSU rRNA". It matches the Rfam family "Bacterial small subunit ribosomal RNA", at positions 348 to 836 of the family's 1533-position model. The record is from RNAcentral. Lineage: Bacteria; Bacillati; Bacillota; Bacilli; Lactobacillales; Lactobacillaceae.
GCAGCAGUAGGGAAUCUUCCACAAUGGGCGCAAGCCUGAUGGAGCAACGCCGCGUGAGUGAAGAAGGUCUUCGGAUCGUAAAACUCUGUUGUUAGAGAAGAACAUGCGGGAGAGUAACUGUUCUUGUAUUGACGGUAUCUAACCAGAAAGCCACGGCUAACUACGUGCCAGCAGCCGCGGUAAUUCGGAGGGUGCAAGCGUUAAUCGGAAUAACUGGGCGUAAAGGGCAUGCAGGCGGUUCAUCAAGUAGGAUGUGAAAUCCCCGGGCUCAACCUGGGAACAGCAUACUAAACUGGUGGACUAGAGUAUUGCAGGGGGAGACGGAAUUCCAGGUGUAGCGGUGGAAUGCGUAGAUAUCUGGAAGAACACCAAAGGCGAAGGCAGUCUCCUGGGCAAAUACUGACGCUCAUAUGCGAAAGCGUGGGUAGCAAACAGGAUUAGAUACCCUGGUAGUCCACGCCGUAAACGAUGUCAAUUAGGAGUUUGGGCCGUGUCA